GAAUGUGCAGUGAAUGUCCAAUAUAAACCCAACUUCACCUCAGUUUAGCAGUUUAUACAUUAAAAACAUUACAGAAAUUUAAAGUUAUUUUAGCUGCUAAAUGACAGCCACUUUUACACUCACUGUUGUUUAUUUUAGUUGCUAUAAGCAGGGAGCAAACAAUGGAUUUUAGGAUAAAGUAAGGUUAUACUUAAAUAGUGCCGCUAAAACAGAAUAACAAAUCUCUCCUCAUGAGUUAAAUAGUGCACUACAUAGGGUGUAGACUGUCAUUAUUUCAUCCCUAAUGUAGUGCACUUAAACCGGAAAUGACAUCAAUUUGGGAUUCGGCCACACAGCUUCCGUUUAAUUUACCUCGGGUUUAAAAACAGAACGGUUUUAAUUCCUCAAACACAGACAAAAUAACCAGCUUUUAUGUUUAAACUGGAUCAAACCUAACUGUAAAACUGUCAGAAAUAAUUUAAUCUGGAGAUGAUUAGUUCGGUGUAAUAACUCAACUGCUCAGGAGAUACCCGCUGCAGCUUUUUCUUCUUCUGUGAUUUCUACUGGUCGGAGACGCAGCUGUUAGGCGCGUUACCGCCACCGCGUGGACUGGAGGAUACAGUUCCAGGUUGGAGGAAGUCUAUCCUUACAAACUUACACCAAUAAUUUCCACUCAUGGUUUUAUUAGAUCCUAUUUAUUAUUCCAGUGGAGUUUAUGACUUCUUCAUGAAUGCCAGCAGUGAGUCGUUCACUGUGUCUUACCCAGAUAUACUGAGUGAAAUACUGAGUCACCACAACCUCAAUCUCUAAAUGUUUAACAGCACCAAGCUUUCAAUUCUGGUGACUUUGGGAGUAUUUAUUUAUUUAUAUGAUCAUAUAAUGAAACAAACAUUAACAUAAGCAUGUGCUGCACAGCAUUUCAUUAGUUUAAUUUUACAUUUUAAUUUACUGUAAAGCGCUUUGCUAAAUUUUGCUACGUAAACUUUUUUAGGUAUUAAAACUGGUUACUGUUUGAUUGAUGACAAACUCCAUAUUUUUAUACCUUGGAGCUCCGUGUUACCAUGGUAAUUUAUAAACAAUUACUAACAUUAACUUCAUCAAUGCACGUUUACAUUUUAUUUGAUACUUGACCAGUGUUACGUCCUCAGUUGUAUUUCUGUUUGUACUAUGUUCCAUUCGUGUGUCUAUGUCGGGGGAGGGAUGGGUGUCUUGUCUCCUCCUCUUUUAAGCCCAGUCUACUGCGGUGCGUCAUGUUCCUGCUUGCCAUUGGACGAUCACAUCUCGUACACGCCUGCUCCCGCCUUUGGGAUGAGUUGUCUGUACAUUUCCGGACGUGUACUUAAGCCUCGUCAGUCUCCAUCCCCGGGGCAGAUCGGUGCCGUUGCUUUGUACAGCAGAUAUUUGGUUAUGUGUGUUGAUUUCUCCUGUGUACGACCUUCUGCCUGUUCUUGACUUUGUUUCUGCUCCGCCCCUUUAAGUUCAAUGAUUCAGCUCCCAAACUGCUGGAAAUGUGGGACGGGUUCUAACUCUUCACCAAGACUGCUUUAUCCUGGAGAAGAGGUUUGAGGUGAGACUUCCAUCAUACGCCAGUCCUGUGUCUCCAGGUUACAGUGUGGAUCCUUCAGUAGAUCAGAGAGCAGCUU
This is a long non-coding RNA of Ictalurus punctatus (channel catfish), 1622 nucleotides long. NCBI's taxonomy places the organism in Eukaryota, Metazoa, Chordata, Actinopteri, Siluriformes, Ictaluridae. The record is from Ensembl.